GCCUUUAGAACCAACAGAGUUGCACUGGUCGUUCGAAGGCCCAAAACAAUUGGAAACAAAUUACAUUAUAACAUCAUCACAAGCCCAAAAAUAAAAAAAUAGAAAAUGAAAAGAAACCAACCCACCCAACAAUAGGCAAACGGAUUUUUCAUAAAGAACAAGAUCCACCUUCGAGUAAUAACUGCAUUACUAUGAAUUUGAUACAGAGUUUCCUUGAAUAUGAUGGCAUCUCAACCAUUGGCAAGCUAAAAUAAAUUACCCACCAUCAAAAUUAGGCGCUAACUGAAAGAAAAUAAUUAAAUAUGACCUUAAUAUAAUAAACAAAUUGAUUUUAACUCUACUUCAUUGUUUCUCAGUUCCUGCUCGCAUGCGAGACCAUCUCAUAUGCACUAGACAUUCCUCUCAAUUGAAAACAGAUAAAUAACUUUUCGUCAUAUAGAGUAUAAUGUUUUUGAACGUGGAGGAAUUUAUUGAAGAAUAACGCAAAUGGAGGAAAAGAGAUCAAUCUUCCAAAGGAAACAAAAAUCAAAGGCAAAAAAAAAUGGAGCACUAGGGAGAAACAACUAAUCCUCAAAUGAUGCACAAAAUCUAUUGAGUGGCAUAGGACAUAUAUGAAUAAUCUAAAUGUCCUUGAAGGGCUAAAGUUACUGCUAAUACAGCCAUCUCGGAAAGCAGAAUACUAGAAGAAUUCUAAGGUACUAAUGGAUUUUAUGUGACUGAAAAUUAGAGAAGUUUGAGGGCAAGGAUGGACAUUUAAUUGAAAAUAAACUUGAUGUGAAAGAGGAAUGGAACACAAACUAAGAUGAAGGGAAGAAAUGAAAAAAAUAGUGGCCCCAAAUCUUUCUAAAGAUGUAGCCGAAGCCAAGUGGGAUAGAGGAAACAAACCCAUACAACCGAUCCCAACUAGUUUUGUAUUAAGGCAUAGUUGAGUUAUGUUUAUUGAAAAUGAAUUUCUGGAAUUUGUUGGCAGUAAUGUAAGAAAAAAAAAUCAGACUAGCAUUUUUUAAGUUAUCAUAGAACUCUUUCUAUGACCUUUUUCUCUGUUUGAUUUGACAAGUACAACUUCAAAUGAAAAAAUUUCUUCACAUAACCAAAAAAUUAACUCGCACUCACAAAAAAAUAAACCAAAGUCUUAAAUUCUAGACUCAAUUUACAAAAUUACCAUAAAUAAGCCAAAAUUACAGAAAUUGAGUUCGGUCACUGUUCUUUAUAAAAAUUGCCAAAUUAGAAGUAAAAUUUAAUUCUAGACUAUUAAGGGCUCAAUCUGCAGAACCAUAUAUUGGCUACAGAUCCCAAAGAGGGGAUUAAGCCAAAAUUUAAACAUCAAAAUUAGGCAUUAGUAGCAAAAAGCUUCUGAGCUUCACUUUUGCAGGCUACAUUAGAAGGUGACAUGGGAAUCUUGGCAUCUUGCUAUCCCAGCAAAAUCCACCUCUAAGUCAUCUCAUUUAUGACAUCAUCCAAGGUGACAUUUUAGGGCAAUGACAAAACUGCUAAGUGCUAAUACAAUCAUAAAUGCAUUUACUAAUUCAAUUGCACCAAAUUUAACUUAUGUUUUUAAUAAUUUGAUUUAGUUCAGUUUUGAUACAAAAAUUUAUUUUGGUUUUCAAUUUUGAAUUUUAAGAAACAAGAAAAUCAAAACUGAAUCACAUUUAUUAAUAUUUUAUAUAUUAUUUUAGGUGCACCUUUUAUGCGAAUGCAUUUUAAGAGAAAGACGAAAACACAAAUGUACAGAGCAAAAAUGCCAUCAAUGAUCACAGAAAAGUAAUAAUAGAAGAAUAUCCUUCAGCUCAUUGGACAGGGCACAUUGCAAAGGGAAACUUACUGUAAAGUUGCCACCCAUGCUGCU
This 1846-nucleotide unclassified non-coding RNA is filed under the name Hevea brasiliensis (rubber tree). Lineage: Eukaryota; Viridiplantae; Streptophyta; Magnoliopsida; Malpighiales; Euphorbiaceae. The record is from RNAcentral.